UGGGGAAUAUUGGACAAUGGGCGAAAGCCUGAUCCAGCCAUGCCGCGUGUGUGAAGAAGGUCUUCGGAUUGUAAAGCACUCUAAGUUGGGAGGAAGGGCAGUAAGCGAAUACCUUGCUGUUUUGACGUUACCGACAGAAUAAGCACCGGCUAACUCUGUGCCAGCAGCCGCGGUAAUACAGAGGGUGCAAGCGUUAAUCGGAAUUACUGGGCGUAAAGCGCGCGUAGGUGGUUCGUUAAGUUGAAUGUGAAAGCCCCGGGCUCAACCUGGGAACUGCAUCCAAAACUGGCGAGCUAGAGUAGGGCAGAGGGUGGUGGAAUGUCCUGUGUAGCGGUGAAAUGCGUGGAUAUAGGAAGGAACACCAGUAGCGAAGGCGACCACCUGGGCUCAUACUGACACUGAGGUGCGAAAACGUGGGGAGCAAACAGG
Molecule: ribosomal RNA, 429 nt
Filed under: Pseudomonadota bacterium
Lineage: Bacteria; Pseudomonadati; Pseudomonadota
Description: Proteobacteria bacterium partial 16S ribosomal RNA
Rfam family: Bacterial small subunit ribosomal RNA
Source: RNAcentral